RNAcentral lists this transfer RNA (76 nucleotides) under Betaproteobacteria bacterium. Its description in RNAcentral is "tRNA-His". It matches the Rfam family "tRNA". Rfam says of the family: Transfer RNA (tRNA) molecules are approximately 80 nucleotides in length. Their secondary structure includes four short double-helical elements and three loops (D, anti-codon, and T loops). Lineage: Bacteria; Pseudomonadati; Pseudomonadota; Betaproteobacteria. The record is from RNAcentral. RNAcentral also lists the same sequence under 3 other names.
GUGGCGGUAGCUCAAUUGGUAGAGUCCCAGAUUGUGAUUCUGGCUGUUGUGGGUUCGAGUCCCAUCCGUCACCCCA